This 46-nucleotide ribosomal RNA is filed under the name Uromyces appendiculatus. Its description in RNAcentral is "partial 28S rRNA". The record is from RNAcentral. Lineage: Eukaryota; Fungi; Basidiomycota; Pucciniomycetes; Pucciniales; Pucciniaceae.
GGGAACUACCUGCUGAACUUAAGCCAUAUCAAUAAGCAAAAGAAAA